RNAcentral lists this ribosomal RNA (890 nucleotides) under uncultured bacterium. RNAcentral's name for it is "bacterial SSU rRNA". It matches the Rfam family "Bacterial small subunit ribosomal RNA", at positions 1 to 924 of the family's 1533-position model. The record is from RNAcentral.
GCAGAAUUCGCCUUAGAGUUUGAUCCUGGCUCAGGAUGAACGCUGGCGGUAUGCUUUACACAUGCAAGUCGUACGAGAGUUUUUAACUCAAGUGGCGGACGGGUGAGUAACACGUAAGAAUUUGCCUUUAGGAGGGGGAUAACAACUGGAAACGGUUGCUAAUACCCCAUAUGCUUUCGAGUAAAAUGGAUUUUCCGCCUAAAGAGAAGCUUGCGGCUGAUUAGCUUGUUGGUGAGGUAAUGGCUCACCAAGGCGACGAUCAGUAUCUGGUUUGAGAGGACGAUCAGACACACUGGAACUGAGACACGGUCCAGACUCCUACGGGAGGCAGCAGUGGGGAAUUUUCCGCAAUGGGCGAAAGCCUGACGGAGCAAUACCGCGUGAGGGAUGACGGCCUAUGGGUUGUAAACCUCUUUUUUCAGGGAGGAAUCAAUGACGUGUACCUGAAGAAUAAGCAUCGGCUAACUCCGUGCCAGCAGCCGCGGUAAGACGGAGGAUGCAAGUGUUAUCCGGAAUCACUGGGCGUAAAGCGUCUGUAUGUGGUCAAAUAAGUCAACUGUUAAAUCUUGAGGCUCAACCUCAAAAUCGCAGUCGAAACUAUUCGACUAGAGUAUAGUAGGGGUAAAGGGAAUUUCCAGUGGAGCGGUGAAAUGCGUAGAGAUUGGAAAGAACACCGAUGGCGAAGGCACUUUACUGGGCUAUUACUAACACUGAGAGACGAAAGCUAGGGUAGCAAAUGGGAUUAGAUACCCCAGUAGUCCUAGCCGUAAACAAUGGAUACUAGAUGUUGAACAGAUCGACCUGUGCAGUAUCAAAGCUAACGCGUUAAGUAUCCCGCCUGGGAAGUAUGCUCGCAAGAGUGAAACUCAAAUGAAUUGACGGGGAAGGGC